This 465-nucleotide ribosomal RNA is filed under the name uncultured bacterium. RNAcentral's name for it is "partial 16S ribosomal RNA". It matches the Rfam family "Bacterial small subunit ribosomal RNA", at positions 338 to 795 of the family's 1533-position model. The record is from RNAcentral.
CCUACGGGAGGCAGCAGUGGGGAAUAUUGCGCAAUGGGCGAAAGCCUGACGCAGCGACGCCGCGUGAGGGAUGAAGGUCUUCGGAUCGUAAACCUCUGUCAGCAGGGAAGAACGGUCACUGUGCUAAUCAGCAGUGAAUUGACGGUACCUGCAAAGGAAGCACCGGCUAACUCCGUGCCAGCAGCCGCGGUAAUACGGAGGGUUCGAGCGUUAAUCGGAAUUACUGGGCGUAAAGCGCUCGUAGGCGGUAUGUCAAGUCAAGGGUGAAAUCCCCGCGCUCAACGUGGGAACUGCCUUUGAAACGGGCAAACUGGAGUGUGUGAGAGGAUAGUGGAAUUCCAGGUGUAGGAGUGAAAGCCGUAGAUAUCUGGAGGAACAUCAGUGGCGAAGGCGACUAUCUGGCACAUAACUGACGCUGAGGAGCGAAAGCGUGGGUAGCAAACAGGAUUAGAUACCCUAGUAGUC